CCCUUAGAUGUUCUGGGCCGCACGCGCGCUACACUGAUGAAAGCAACAAGUCUAUAACCUUGGUCGAAAGGCCUGGGUAAUCUUGCAAAUUUCAUCGUGAUGGGGAUAGAUUAUUGCAACUAUUAAUCUUCAACGAGGAAUUCCUAGUAAGCGUGAGUCAUCAGCUCGCGUUGAUUACGUCCCUGCCCUUUGUACACACCGCCCGUCGCUCCUACCGAUUGAAUGGUCCGGUGAAAUCUUCGGAUUGUGCGCAGCGAAGGUUCGCUGGAGCUGUGCGUGAGAAGUUGAUUAAACCUUAUCAUUUAGAGGAAGGAGAAGUCGUAACA
Molecule: ribosomal RNA, 326 nt
Filed under: uncultured eukaryote
Lineage: Eukaryota
Description: partial 18S ribosomal RNA
Rfam family: Eukaryotic small subunit ribosomal RNA
Source: RNAcentral